AGUUUGUUCCUGGCUCAGGACGAACGCUGGCGGCGUGCCUAAUACAUGCAAGUCGAGCGGAUCGAUGGGAGCUUGCUCCCUGAGAUCAGCGGCGGACGGGUGAGUAACACGUGGGUAACCUGCCUGUAAGACUGGGAUAACUCCGGGAAACCGGGGCUAAUACCGGAUAACACCUACCCCCGCAUGGGGGAAGGUUGAAAGGUGGCUUCGGCUAUCACUUACAGAUGGACCCGCGGCGCAUUAGCUAGUUGGUGAGGUAACGGCUCACCAAGGCGACGAUGCGUAGCCGACCUGAGAGGGUGAUCGGCCACACUGGGACUGAGACACGGCCCAGACUCCUACGGGAGGCAGCAGUAGGGAAUCUUCCGCAAUGGACGAAAGUCUGACGGAGCAACGCCGCGUGAGUGAAGAAGGUUUUCGGAUCGUAAAACUCUGUUGUUAGGGAAGAACAAGUGCCGUUCGAAUAGGGCGGCACCUUGACGGUACCUAACCAGAAAGCCACGGCUAACUACGUGCCAGCAGCCGCGGUAAUACGUAGGUGGCAAGCGUUGUCCGGAAUUAUUGGGCGUAAAGCGCGCGCAGGUGGUUUCUUAAGUCUGAUGUGAAAGCCCACGGCUCAACCGUGGAGGGUCAUUGGAAACUGGGGAACUUGAGUGCAGAAGAGGAAAGUGGAAUUCCAAGUGUAGCGGUGAAAUGCGUAGAUAUUUGGAGGAACACCAGUGGCGAAGGCGACUUUCUGGUCUGUAACUGACACUGAGGCGCGAAAGCGUGGGGAGCAAACAGGAUUAGAUACCCUAAGUAGUCCA
This 806-nucleotide ribosomal RNA is filed under the name Rossellomorea aquimaris. RNAcentral describes it as "bacterial SSU rRNA". It matches the Rfam family "Bacterial small subunit ribosomal RNA", at positions 10 to 797 of the family's 1533-position model. The record is from RNAcentral. Lineage: Bacteria; Bacillati; Bacillota; Bacilli; Caryophanales; Bacillaceae.